AGUCCUGUAGCUCAGUGGUUAGAGCACUCGCCUGGUAAGUGAGAGACCUGGGUUCGAUUCCCGGCAGGGUGA
This 72-nucleotide transfer RNA is filed under the name Callorhinchus milii (elephant shark). RNAcentral's name for it is "tRNA-Thr (GGT) (tRNA-Thr-GGT-2-1)". It matches the Rfam family "tRNA". From Rfam's summary of the family: Transfer RNA (tRNA) molecules are approximately 80 nucleotides in length. The record is from Rfam by way of RNAcentral. Lineage: Eukaryota; Metazoa; Chordata; Chondrichthyes; Chimaeriformes; Callorhinchidae.